UACGGAGGGUGCAAGCGUUAUCCGGAUUCACUGGGUUUAAAGGGUGCGUAGGUGGGCAAGUAAGUCAGUGGUGAAAUCUCCGGGCUUAACCCGGAAACUGCCAUUGAUACUAUUUGUCUUGAAUACUGUGGAGGUCAGCGGAAUAUGUCAUGUAGCGGUGAAAUGCUUAGAUAUGACAUAGAACACCAAUUGCGAAGGCAGCUGGCUACACAAAUAUUGACACUGAGGCACGAAAGCCAGGGGAGCGAACGGG
RNAcentral lists this ribosomal RNA (253 nucleotides) under uncultured bacterium. RNAcentral describes it as "partial 16S ribosomal RNA". It matches the Rfam family "Bacterial small subunit ribosomal RNA", at positions 524 to 776 of the family's 1533-position model. The record is from RNAcentral.